UACGAAGGGGGCUAGCGUUGUUCGGAAUCACUGGGCGUAAAGCGCCCGUAGGCGGAUCUUUAAGUCAGGGGUGAAAUCCCGAGGCUCAACCUCGGAACUGCCUUUGAUACUGGGGAUCUCGAGUCCGGGAGAGGUGAGUGGAACUGCGAGUGUAGAGGUGAAAUUCGUAGAUAUUCGCAAGAACACCAGUGGCGAAGGCGGCUCACUGGCCCGGAACUGACGCUGAGGUGCGAAAGCGUGGGGAGCAAACAGG
This 253-nucleotide ribosomal RNA is filed under the name uncultured bacterium. RNAcentral's name for it is "partial 16S ribosomal RNA". It matches the Rfam family "Bacterial small subunit ribosomal RNA", at positions 524 to 776 of the family's 1533-position model. The record is from RNAcentral.